This 895-nucleotide long non-coding RNA is filed under the name Eucalyptus grandis. RNAcentral's name for it is "long non-coding RNA (EGRA_LNC006448)". The record is from RNAcentral. Lineage: Eukaryota; Viridiplantae; Streptophyta; Magnoliopsida; Myrtales; Myrtaceae.
CCGGCAGUAGACUAAAAUCCCUGGGGGAAGGCAAAGGGUUGGUGUUGAUCAUUUUACCGAAGCAACACAGGGCAUCACCGACACUCGCAAACCCACCACCAGCUCUGCGAUUUCUCCUCACGUAACUCAAGACCUGGUUCGGGUCGUCUAAAUUAGGGUUAGGGGUCGAAGAAAACCUCCGACGACGGCAAACCGAGAAAGGAUGAGAGAGAAAGAGAAUGGAAAGGGAUGAGGACUUGCAGGAGAUCGCAGCUGGACCCUGAAGAAGAAGGAAGAAGGAAUAAGCAGGACAGAGACUCGCGCGCUUCAUCAGCUUGAUGCUGAUGAAUGUGAAAACUGCAGAGCUUUUUGCUUUAGGGUCUCUCUCUCCCCCUACCAAGGCAGACUGUAAUGGCACUUUUGACAGGUCUUCGAGAUUUCAGUCAGAGUCGAAUUCGGAAGUCAUACUCUGAAAACCGAACCGAACCGAAAAUUUGGGUUCGGUUCCGUUCAGUUCGGAAGAUUCUUCUAACAAUUCGGUUUAGUUCAGUUUUUGAAAAAAAUCGAACCGAACCGAAUUGUUGAUACCCUAGUUGAGACGACCCCUGAAAGCCUUAUAAUUUGUAAGAGUGUGAUGUGCACCUCCUCAUGAACACUAAUUGAGCGACCAUGGCUGCAAGCUCGAGACUCUAGUGGGUAUGGCUGCCAGCUUUGAGGCGAGCUGCCAGCUUUGAGGCGAGCUCAUACCGACCCACCUUGACAUGGUCAUCGCGAGCUUAGGGCUUGAGCUCAACUCUCGUCUAUAGCAGAUGCAAUGGACCCUCUCUCUCUCCCACACACACAAUUCUCUUUUUAUUUUACUCAACGCGACACCUAUUUUGCGCAAUAAUAAUGUUACGACAAUUUUAGCACGAGC